UCCGGUUUGUCACCGGCAGUCUCGCAUGAGUCCCCAACUAAAUGCUGGCAACAUGCGACGGGGGUUGCGCUCGUUGCGGGACUUAACCCAACAUCUCACGACACGAGCUGACGACAGCCAUGCAGCACCUGUCUCCAGGUUCCCGAAGGCACCCCCACAUCUCUGCGGGGUUCCUAGGAUGUCAAGACCAGGUAAGGUUCUUCGCGUUGCAUCGAAUUGAACCACAUGCUCCACUGCUUGUGCGGGUCCCCGUCAAUUUCUUUGGGUUUUAAUCUUGCGACCGUACUCCCCAGGCGGGAUGCUUAACGCGUUAGCUUCGUUACUGAAAUGGUUUACAUCUCCAACGUCCAGUUCGCAUCGUUUAGGGCGUGGACUAC
RNAcentral lists this unclassified non-coding RNA (377 nucleotides) under uncultured Pseudomonadota bacterium. Its description in RNAcentral is "uncultured proteobacterium contains 16S-23S intergenic spacer region". Lineage: Bacteria; Pseudomonadati; Pseudomonadota. The record is from RNAcentral.